GGAAAUGUGGCUUAGUGGUAGAGUGCUUGCCUAGCAUGCAUGAAACCCUGGGUUCAAUUCAACAAUACCA
RNAcentral lists this transfer RNA (70 nucleotides) under Dipodomys ordii (Ord's kangaroo rat). It matches the Rfam family "tRNA". Rfam says of the family: Transfer RNA (tRNA) molecules are approximately 80 nucleotides in length. Their secondary structure includes four short double-helical elements and three loops (D, anti-codon, and T loops). Lineage: Eukaryota; Metazoa; Chordata; Mammalia; Rodentia; Heteromyidae. The record is from Rfam by way of RNAcentral.